This 75-nucleotide transfer RNA is filed under the name Acidobacteriota bacterium. RNAcentral's name for it is "tRNA-Arg". It matches the Rfam family "tRNA". From Rfam's summary of the family: Transfer RNA (tRNA) molecules are approximately 80 nucleotides in length. Their secondary structure includes four short double-helical elements and three loops (D, anti-codon, and T loops). Lineage: Bacteria; Pseudomonadati; Acidobacteriota. The record is from RNAcentral.
AGCCGAUUAGCUCAGCGGAUCCAGAGCGGCGGUCUUCUAAACCGCAGGUCGUUGGUUCAAAUCCAACAUCGGCUG